Molecule: ribosomal RNA, 1641 nt
Filed under: Triticum aestivum (bread wheat)
Lineage: Eukaryota; Viridiplantae; Streptophyta; Magnoliopsida; Poales; Poaceae
Description: partial small subunit ribosomal RNA
Source: RNAcentral
AUGGCGCUCGAUUUGGGAGCCCUCGCUCUCAAGUACACCGGGCUGGCGGUGUCGGACCACGACUCCAUCGUCGCCAUCAACAUCUUCAUCGCGCUGCUCUGCGGCUGCAUUGUCUUCGGCCACCUGCUCGAGGGGAACCGCUGGGUCAAUGAGUCCACCACCGCGCUUGUCCUGGGGCUCAUCACUGGUGGCGUGAUUUUGAUCUGCACCAAAGGGGUGAAUUCACGGAUCCUUAUCUUCAGCGAGGAUAUUUUUUUCAUCUACUUGCUCCCGCCCAUCAUUUUUAACGCCGGGUUUCAAGUAAAGAAAAAGCAAUUCUUCCGCAACUUUGCGACAAUUAUUUUAUUUGGUGCUGCUGGAACAUUGAUAUCCUUUGUAAUAAUCACGUUUGGUGCUAUGGGAUUGUUCAGCAAACUUGAUGUUGGUCCACUUGAGCUUGGGGACUAUCUUGCAAUUGGGGCUAUCUUCUCAGCAACAGAUUCUGUUUGCACCUUACAGGUGCUUAACCAGGAUGAAGCACCCCUACUGUAUAGUCUAGUUUUUGGUGAAGGUGUUGUUAAUGAUGCUACAUCAGUUGUGCUCUUCAAUGCAAUUCAAAACAUUGAUAUUAAUCAUUUUGAUGUCUUCGUUCUACUACAAUUCAUCGGAAAAUUCCUCUACCUAUUCUUCACCAGCACCGUUCUUGGAGUAGCUGCUGGGUUGCUUAGUGCAUACAUUAUUAAGAAACUUUGUUUUGCAAGACACUCAACUGACAGAGAAGUUGCUAUCAUGAUACUCAUGGCAUACCUUUCAUAUAUGCUGUCAAUGCUGCUGGAUCUGAGUGGCAUUCUAACCGUGUUCUUCUGUGGAAUAGUAAUGUCACAUUACACUUGGCAUAAUGUCACAGAAAGCUCAAGGGUUACUACGAAGCAUACUUUCGCAACUUUAUCAUUCAUUGCUGAGAUUUUUCUUUUUCUCUAUGUCGGGAUGGAUGCAUUGGACAUUGAUAAAUGGAAAUUAGCUAGUAGCAGUCCUAAGAAACCAAUUGCUUUAAGCGCUGUUAUAUUGGGUUUGGUUAUGGUUGGAAGAGCAGCAUUCGUAUUCCCUUUAUCUUUUCUAUCCAACUUAAGUAAAAAAGAGUCACAUCCAAAGAUUUCCUUCAACCAACAGGUAAUCAUAUGGUGGGCAGGUCUCAUGAGAGGAGCAGUUUCAAUUGCACUUGCUUAUAACAAGUUUACAACAUCUGGUCAUACUGCCGUGCGAGUUAAUGCUGUCAUGAUCACAAGCACAAUCAUUGUUGUUCUGUUCAGCACAAUGGUUUUCGGCUUGCUGACUAAGCCUCUGAUUAAUCUCCUCAUCCCACCAAGACCUGGCACCGCAGCUGAUAUCUCAAGCCAGUCAUUCCUAGACCCACUUACAGCGAGCUUGUUGGGAUCGGACUUCGAUGUAGGCCAGCUCACCCCCCAAACAAACCUUCAGUAUCUUCUCACCAUGCCAACUCGCUCGGUUCAUCGUGUAUGGCGCAAGUUCGAUGAUAAGUUCAUGCGCCCAAUGUUUGGGGGAAGAGGCUUCGUCCCAUUUGUGCCUGGUUCACCCAUAGAGAGGAGCGUCCAUGGGCCUGGCUUGUUGGGCACUGUGACGGAGGCAGAAGACCGUAGUUAA